GCAGAAUAUCAGUACAGUAUGUCUACAGAAAGGGCUUUUGAAUCACUUGUCACAAAAUUACGCUUUAUUUAUUCUGACAAUAGAAUGUAAAUGGUGUCAGUGUCUAUUAUACUGAUAAUGGGGGUUAUGAGAUAUUUGAUUAUCAUGCAAGAGACGAAUAUGGUAGAAGCCAUCCCUCAGGUACAUGUGUACUAUGAGAAGUACCAUCUGUUCAGGGCUUAGUACAGUAUUUCCAGACUAUACACUCCCUCAGGGAUGAUUAUGAACUCAGAGGAGUGCAGAUAAGUACAUAUGAAAUAACUGCAGUGAACAGUUUGAGAGAAGAACACAACUGCUCUUGAAAAAAAUGCUCUGCUGUAGGGCUUUAUGCAAUGUGUUACUAAUUGACAAAGUCUUGUAGUUAUUAGAAUUCCAGAACCCUAUGUUGCAUAGCUGACCGAGGAAAUAAAUUAUAUCAUAACAUGAGUAUCAACAGGAAUCUAAAAAGGGAAGAUUUAUACACGAGUCUUAAUAUUUGUGGAGUUGAGAUAUCAGUCCAAAUUAAAGCUCAAAGCUAUGGGAUGUUGUCCAGUGGUUUAAACUAUAAAAAAAAAGUUGGAAAACUUAAUUUUCAACAACUACAGUUGACAUACAGGGUUUUUAUAGUGCCUUGCAAGUUACUGUUAGGUAUUACUUGUAUUUUUCAACAAACAGUCAGAGCAAAGUACAUGUUGUCCUUAUUGACCUAUGAAGAUACUUGUGAACUUGCAAUACAACAAAUGAAAACAGGUGGUAAACCAUCAUUAGAACUAGCCAUAGAUGCAAAAAGCUCUGCCUGUGACCUGGCACUGGUUAUGAAGGGACAUCCAGAUUUCACAAGAUCAUAAUACUUGACAGUCAUUUGAAAAGUCCUACACCGUCAGCUGCUGGAUAAAGGCUUUCACUCACUAAUUCAGUAACAGAAUUUUUUGAUAAACAAUAUAUGAUUUUCUGGAUUGCUUGUGGUCAUUAGAGAGGCAGACUCAAAAUCAAGCAAAAUUAGACGGCAAAAAAUGAUCAUGAAAUCUGGUUUGGUUAGGAAACAGAAUGUGCACCACUACGUGGUGACACGUAGUCUUUUGUGCCCUACAAAAAGAUCCAAAAGUAGUCCAUCUAGGAAGCUGGUUAGCAGUUUCGGCCUGAGCGGGCCUUAUCGCCGUGACGUAGCUGAUCAGCCAAUGAUCAAAAGACUAAAGGAAUAUCGAUUAUUUUUAAAGCCGGUUUUUGAGGUCAGUACUUUAAUCUAUCUUCAUUCUCCUCUACUUGUAAUACGUACACUGGCUGAUUUUAUAUCUCUUCCAAACAAAUGUAGAUAUCUUUAUUACCUCGUUAAAUUAUCUCGUGAAUUUUAUAUGAUCUUUAUAUUUUGUAUGCUACAGAUGCUUUAUUGUUUCCCUGUUCCAGUGCCUCUCUCAAAUUACUUAGAGUACUUUUUGUUUUUUAUGAAGAAACAACUGCAUUUUUCGCUUGAAAUUCUCGAUAAGCGCAAGAAGAGUGUGCUUGUUUCACUCUAUUUGGAUCUUCUAAGUGGGAUUGCUUGGGAGUUCAUUUAAACAAUGGUGGACAAGAGAAGGGUUCAAGUCGUAGGACAAAGAAAUGAAAUUGCAGAACGAAGGUUUCCUUUUUCAAUGUUGUACACAACAAAGCGGCCAAGAGUGGGGUAUCAGCGGAAUCUAAUCAGCUAGAGGUGGAAUUUGUCCAACCUUUAGAAACAAAGGCAAAUGUCUCCAACUUUGUGUCGCUUAUUGUUGCAAGAGCGACGUUUCCAUUAUGGGCAUUGCAAACCAUGCUUAUCAUUAGUAGGGGUUGAACUUGUGUGUGGAAUUUGACUGUGGAACAGGAAUAUAAAUCCCUUUGAGGUUGAAAAGUAGCACCCAAUGCCGUCAAUGAAGAUUUAAUAGAAGAAGGAAUGGUGCACAGUCGAAGAUUUUAUACCAGGGGAAAGUCAGAGCAGCGGAGAAUAUCACGUCUACCCAAAACUCCAAAGCGCCACUUCCCUAUCAAGUGAGCACAAAGGCUACAAGGUUGAUAAGUGAAUCUGGAACUAAAGAACAGCCAAGGAGUUUUUAAGGAUUGCGUGGAAGGCAGCUCUGUGUGAAUUUGAACUGUAUUCGUGGAGUUCGAGUUCUUCAGCAGGUCUUCGUUACUCUA
Molecule: long non-coding RNA, 2169 nt
Filed under: Stylophora pistillata
Lineage: Eukaryota; Metazoa; Cnidaria; Anthozoa; Scleractinia; Pocilloporidae
Description: uncharacterized LOC111335457
Source: RNAcentral